Molecule: long non-coding RNA, 2006 nt
Organism: Neofelis nebulosa (Clouded leopard)
Lineage: Eukaryota; Metazoa; Chordata; Mammalia; Carnivora; Felidae
Exons: 2
Source: RefSeq, a predicted model, not a curated record
GAGAGAGAGAGGGAGAAUCCCAAGCAGACUCCUCACUGUCAACACAGAACCCCAAGUGCCGUUCGAUCUGACAAACUGAGAUCAUGACCUGAGCCGAAAUCAAGACUCGGGCGCUUAACUGACAAACCCACCCAGGUGCCCCUGGUCUUUUUUUCUUUAGUGGACUGUAUAUACAUCCGUUUCUUGUGUCUGCCUUGGAAUCAUUCUGUUGGUUCCCUCAGGAGUGAGCUAAGUGAAACUCUGACAUAUGCUCUCCGUAUAUGCCUUUUGGCACUUUGAGAAUUACACAUUUGAAUGUACUCAAGGUGACACCGGGCUACUAUCUUCACUCCUGGCAGAUGGGUCUCGUCUUUGGGGCUUCCGUUGUUUUGUCUUCUUCUGAGUCCUCCCCGUUCUCCGUGGCUCUGGAGAGGAAUCACACACAGGGCACAAGUCAGGAGAGAGGUUCUCCUGCAUCACUCCCCCGGUCCUCAGCUUAGAUUUCAUCUCCUCUGGAAACCGACCAUUAUCCUUCUAUCUGAUCUCACGCCCCACAACCUCCCCCGGGCAAUGUAUUCACCAACUGUCCUGAAAUUGCUUAUUUACUCUUCUGUUUCUUUCUCGGUGACUUCCGUGGGAGCACAGACUCUAUUUUGUUUGACUUUUUUUAUCCUCGGCUUUCAGCACAGUGUCCAGCUGUAGGUACUCACCCAGUAUUUUAACGAGUGAAUCAUGGGAUGAGUAUUAACCUCUUUGUAUUUCAAGGGUAGCUACUGCUUCCUUACGUGUAAUUUAUUGUUCUAACAAGUGAUGCCAAUCUUUAGCUUGUGUGGUUCUCACAGCUCUUCCUUUGGGGGUUGUGGUGGUGCAUGUUUGUGCAUAACAACGUCUCCACCUUACAUUCAUCGCUUCUGGUCUCCUCUCUACUCUUUUCAGAGCACGGCUCCUUUAAGUCCAGGAGAAGCUGGUUUGCAGAGGAAGUCCGACCAGACACUGAGCAGAGUGAAUGGCUGUGCCGAUCUAGCCACACCUAUUUCAUAUGUUUCUUUAGUGUCUUUCAGCUUGCCUAUUCGUCCAUCCGUGCCUGAUUUGUUCUUAGAUUUGCCCCCAAGACGCUGGUCUUGGCUUGUCCUAGUUUGAACUUGGUGUCUCUGGCGAUUGGCUCACGUUCUGACCUCCACCCAUCCCCAAUUCUGCUUUUCUACUCUUUGGCGUCUCCAAGCACCUGACCUCAGCUCAACCUGCCUCUGGCCUUGUUUCUCCUGCCUGACACCAACAGCUGGAAAGAACCCUGCCCUUCUGUGAGGAGAGAGAUGAGGCUCAGUGUGGUUUACCGGAAAUAAAGCUUGCAUUAUGGGAGGGAACAAACAGUCUCCAGGUGAGAAAUUAUGGGAACUGUCACGCCAAAUCAGCUGGUCGCCCUUAUGUCAUGGGAUCCGGACCAGGAGAAGAAGGCUGGCCGGGCGGAGUGCAUGUGAUCAGCGUGUGACGGGCCGUGCAUCCAGCAUGCUGAGGGCACCGGCUCUCCUGGCCCAAAUAACCACAAAAAGGAACAGAUUUCAGACAGGCAGUUUUACAGCGUCCCUGUGGUUAUUUUGCCAACUUCCAGCCACUUCUUUCUCUAGCACUGAGCCAAAGAGACACAUAACCAUUAUCAAAAUGUUCUGAAUAUAUAGGUCACUCCGUUUCUUUUAGUUAUCUUUAAUCUGAGGUGUCUCGAAUUACAUUUCCACACCAAUCCACUCAAUUUACAUUUAGCUCAAGCUUUCAAAUUAAUUGCAUCCUGAAUUUAAAAAACAAAACAAAACAAAACCGUUUAGGGAGGUGAAGACUGUUAAAAGGGUGUUGUCUUUUCUUCUCUGUCGCUGGAAAGAUUGAGAUGACCGGGUUUUCCAGGGAGCCUUUAAAAGGUUUUUCGUUGUAGCCACGGCCAGUUGUGAUAUUUGCCCCAAACCCUCAUCUGUAGCAACGCACCUGCUGUGAAUGUUUCAUUUUCUGUGGUUUUUUAAAAUUUCUCCAUCACGUUU